This 401-nucleotide ribosomal RNA is filed under the name Anaplasma bovis. RNAcentral describes it as "bacterial SSU rRNA". It matches the Rfam family "Bacterial small subunit ribosomal RNA", at positions 862 to 1262 of the family's 1533-position model. The record is from RNAcentral. Lineage: Bacteria; Pseudomonadati; Pseudomonadota; Alphaproteobacteria; Rickettsiales; Anaplasmataceae.
AAGCACACCGCUGGGGAUACGGUCGCAGACUAAAACUCAAAGGAAUUGACGGGGACCCGCACAAGCGGUGGAGCAUGUGGUUUAAUUCGAUGCAACGCGAAAAACCUUACCACUCCUUGACAUGAAGAUUAGAUCCUCCUUAACAGGAGGGCGCAGUUAGGCUGGGUCUUGCACAGGUGCUGCAUGGCUGUCGUCAGCUCGUGUCGUGAGAUGUUGGGUUAAGUCCCGCAACGAGCGUAACCCUCACCCUUAGUUGCCAGCGGGUAAUGCCGGGGACUUUAAGGGAACUGCCAGUGGUAAGCUGGAGGAAGGUGGGGAUGAUGUCAAGUCAGCAUGGCCCUUAUGGGGUGGGCUACACACGUGCUACAAUGGUGACUACAAUAGGUUGCAUGGUCGCAAGA